CGAGAUUUUGUUGGAUAAUUUUUAAUGAUAUUAUGAUGAUUUGAAUUUGAAUAUUGUUUUUUUUUAAUUUUACAAAAUUUCAUUUUUAAUUCAUAAUUUGGAAUUCUACAAUAAAGAAUCAAUAAAGUUAUAUACACCAAUAAAGAAGGGAAUCAAACACCAACAGGUUCAGACACUGGGAUGUGCGGCACAACAACAGAAGAAGUAAUGAUUGAUGGAAGUGGUAAGAGUAAAGAAAGAAAUAUGGAGGCAUAAUAAGUCAAAUGAUGAUUUGUAUAAAUUAGUAUGAAUGAAAUUUAACAAUUAAUUUGGAUGAAUAUAUCUUUAAAAAAAACGCUAA
Gordionus sp. m RMFG-2023 is the source of this 340-nucleotide long non-coding RNA. RefSeq lists it as uncharacterized. The record is from RefSeq and is a predicted model, not a curated record. Lineage: Eukaryota; Metazoa; Nematomorpha; Gordioida; Chordodea; Parachordodidae. The transcript has 2 exons.